GGAGUAUAGCUCAGUGGCAGAGAAUAUGAUUAGCAUACAUGAGGUACUGGGUUCAAUCCCCAGUACCUCCA
RNAcentral lists this transfer RNA (71 nucleotides) under Camelus bactrianus (Bactrian camel). It matches the Rfam family "tRNA". From Rfam's summary of the family: Transfer RNA (tRNA) molecules are approximately 80 nucleotides in length. Their secondary structure includes four short double-helical elements and three loops (D, anti-codon, and T loops). RNAcentral also lists the same sequence under 2 other names. The record is from Rfam by way of RNAcentral. Lineage: Eukaryota; Metazoa; Chordata; Mammalia; Artiodactyla; Camelidae.